GUACCCAUAGUUCAAUGGAUAGAAUUGCAGAUUCCGGUUCUGCUGAUGGGGGUUCGAAUCCCUCUGGGUACACAA
Molecule: transfer RNA, 75 nt
Filed under: Sphingobacteriales bacterium 16-39-50
Lineage: Bacteria; Pseudomonadati; Bacteroidota; Sphingobacteriia; Sphingobacteriales
Also listed under: 1 other name
Description: tRNA-Arg
Rfam family: tRNA
About the family: Transfer RNA (tRNA) molecules are approximately 80 nucleotides in length. Their secondary structure includes four short double-helical elements and three loops (D, anti-codon, and T loops).
Source: RNAcentral